Molecule: ribosomal RNA, 427 nt
Filed under: uncultured bacterium
Lineage: Bacteria
Description: partial 16S ribosomal RNA
Rfam family: Bacterial small subunit ribosomal RNA
Source: RNAcentral
UGGGGAAUAUUGCACAAUGGGCGCAAGCCUGAUGCAGCCAUGCCGCGUGUAUGAAGAAGGCCUUCGGGUUGUAAAGUACUUUCAGCGGGGAGGAAGGUGUUGAGGUUAAUAACCUCAGCAAUUGACGUUACCCGCAGAAGAAGCACCGGCUAACUCCGUGCCAGCAGCCGCGGUAAUACGGAGGGUGCAAGCGUUAAUCGGAAUUACUGGGCGUAAAGCGCACGCAGGCGGUCUGUAAAGUCGGAUGUGAAAGCCCCGGGCUCAACCUGGGAACUGCAUUCGAAACUGGCAGGCUAGAGUCUUGUAGAGGGGGGUAGAAUUCCAGGUGUAGCGGUGAAAUGCGUAGAGAUCUGGAGGAAUACCGGUGGCGAAGGCGGCCCCCUGGACAAAGACUGACGCUCAGGUGCGAAAGCGUGGGGAGCAAACA